UCAAUCGGGCUGGCAAGCGCGCUUUGUCUUCCGCCUAUCAUAGCCACACGGGGCACAGGCCACCUCGCCCAAAUUGCGUCGCUGCCGUCCGACCAGCCGCCACUCCCACCCCUCGGCGGCGGCCGCACCGGCCACCGGCCACCACGGAGGAUGGUUCACAGGGAAAGCGCUCUGAUGGUCCGGUGGCCGGUGGCGUAGCGCCCACCCCCAUCCCACACUACCGCGCGCGCGUUCCUGCCUGAACGCACGCAAGGUGCUCGACGAAAUGCUCGGCUACAUUGUCCGCUUCCUGGACAGGCUAACGAAGCGGAAGCAUGGCGCGUGUCGCGUUUCGGGCCUAGGGCCGGAGAUAUGCGGGUACAUGCGAAGGGAGCAGAGCUGCUUUGUCUGCGUGACCAUGGCCCAGUCGGCAAUUCAGUGAACCACGAAAGGUAGCCUGCCUUGGCUGCCCUGCCCACUUGCGACUUGUGUCUUUUGUCUCGUUUCUUGGUGCAGCUGGGUCUCUCGAGGAUGCAGGAUGGUGUUUUGGACGGAUUGGCCUUGUGCCGUGCUGCUACAGUACGUGUGAUCUAUGUCCAUCGUGUUGGGUAAUGAGUAGGCUGUGUUAAUGUGGACUGUUUGUGUGUUGAUGUGGGGGGACGCAAGCUGGUGAGAUGCGAUCGCCGGCGCAAAAUUGGUCUUAUGGCAUGUGAGAUGGUCAUGGGCUCAUGGUGGCAAUAUGGCAUAGGGCAACCAGUGCUUGGAAAUCAUGUGAUACUGGCUGGUGGCAGGAGAUGCUGAAAGCAACGGCCCGGUUAUGUCACAAUUAUCUGUGGAUUUCAGCUGGGCGCUGCUGUUCUUGAGGAAAUGGAAGCGGUUGUGUUGUUGAAAGUUGAAACUGGAACAGAGCAUGAUGUGAGCUUUGCCUGGGCUUUUAGGAGAAACUGACAUUAUGGCAAAGAAACAUUGCGGGGUUUGAUGCAGGUUAGAAUGCACUUCUAGAAGAUUGCAAGGUACAUGUAAAUGUGGAAUUUUCUACGACAUGGCCAGUUGGACUGAGAAAUGCGCUACAGAUAAGCUCCUAGACUUUCAUUGUGGUGGCAAGAGAACUUUUAUGCUUGCAAGAAAGAUAUUCAAGUAUACAUUGGAUGAGUUCAGACUGGUGAUGACAGGGAGACUGAACUGAAAUGCUGAUUUUUUUUUUGACUGGUCAUCGGGCAGAAGAGCUUCCCUACCUGAAUUUUAUAGACAAUGGAGAACGGUAUAAUGUCAGUUCGUUACAUUAGAGUGUAAGGAGGAAGAAAGAGUUUCUUUUCAGGAUUCAACUACAAUCCUAUCGGCACAAUUUAGGCGUUCAGCCCAAAGGGUCGCUUCUUCAAGGCAUUUAGAGGCUAGCCUGGCUGUAGAGGGAGUUUGGUUCCGGAAGACGACAUCGUGGCGGUGGUUCCAUAGCCCCAAGAAGCACAAUAGGUAAAAAACCUGGAAAUGUUUGGCUGGAAUCUGAUUUGGUCUACGCAGAUUGUGUAAUUCUUGCAUUGAGCUGAUGUUUGGUUGGAUCCCCAGCGAGCUCCAAUGCAACAACAAAGGGACAUUGGAUGAAGAAGUGAGGAGCAGUUUCAUUUGCGCCAGCACAGAGAACACAUGUUGCUGAUUGUACCACAUUCUUCUUGAAGAGAUUCAACUUGGUUGGGAGCCGUUCUUUAGAAAGUAGCCAAGCGAAGAAUUGUACUUUCGGAGGAGCUCGGUUCUUCCAAAUGAACGUCUAGUUCGCACAAGGUUGUCUUGGCCCUUUCAGGGCUUGAUAGAUUUGCUUCAUCUUCAGUAUACUAGCACCUCCGACUGCUUUUCUGGUAUCUGCGUCUUCUCCCAAUGAUCUCUCCUGCCUGAUUGCACACAAUGCAGGGAACUGCUGCUGGGCCACCGUCGAUAGUCUAUGCACGAUGAUCUUCCAACUGGCCUAUGAACAUUUGGGCAACUUGUAGAUUGUUUGUCUUUCACAUGCUGAUUUUAGUAAAUGUGAAUAUAUAUGUAUACCUGAUAAUCCUCGAGGUCUCGCUGGCAAGUGUUUCGGAUGUCCAUGCCAAUGCAGUAGAAGGUAUGGCUCCAUGAGUCUUUCUGUGCCAGAUGCUUCACAUGUAUUUGAAAGCUAUAGAGCAUUAUUUGCACUUGAAGUCAGAUGGAUACCAUUCUUAAUGCAAUAGGAAUGUAUCAAGCAUGCUCCAUUCCUCUGCCAUGCACCUGUCACCAGAAAAUUAGUUCUGCCAGUUGAUUGAAAAGGACAAGUAGGUAGCGAUAUCACAGGAAUAAGCAUUAGAAGAGGUGAAAUGUGGAAGAACUUGUUCUAUGCUAAGCAUGGAUUGAAUUCCGGCUGUUUGUUCUGAUAUCAUCCAAGUCCAUUGUGCAUUACAAAUACACCGAAUUUGAUCAAGUCAAUUUUCCCAGUUAUAGGCAAGCAGGUCCAAAUAUGAACUUGCACAGUUUUUUUUAUUCAUAGUGGAAAUUUAUCUUCCAUCUACUUCAUGCUUAUUGGCAAGGAUCAUUCUCAAGGUUCUCAAUUAUUGGUGAUCAUUGAACAAGGUUACUGAGAGAGAAGAGAAGCACAACACAAUGCUUCUUGAAGUCAAUCCGCUUCGAUAAUCAUGCGGGGGUUGUUUAUCUAUUUACAAUCAAUUUAGAGAAGGCUGAGCGUCUCCAGCGGCUUGACGGUGGCCUCCAGCCGGCGACGCGGCGGCGUCCGCGGCAUGGCCGGCGCCGGCACCGACGGCUGCACGAACUUGCAGUUGGGGCACGCCGGCGAGGACUUGCAGAGCAUGACGAGGAGGUGGCAGUUGACGCACGGGACGGCCACCAUUGGUCCCAACGAGCCUACGCCGCCACCGCCGCCGGCGAUCCUCGCAUCGUCCUCCGCGAUGGCAGCGGCGCCGCCAGAGCUCGCCUUGCCGGCUCCGACGUGGAAGGUGGACGGGAUCGUGGAGAUGUUGAGCUCCAGGUCCAGAGUGUUGCUGCCGCCGUGCUCCUCCAUGGGCCUCACCCAGCUCUUCCUCAUGGUCUUCCUGUUCAGGUCAAGGCACUGCUCCCAGUCCAUGGGGAGGGGGUCGUUGAGGUGGAGGUCCAGGCUCGCGUGGGACACGGCCUCCUCCCAGGCGAAGUGCUUCCUCCUCUUCCUGCUGCCGUCGUCGCUGCUGCCGUCCGACUCCGACGACGACGAGCUCUUGCCGGCGCCGGCACCGACGCCGAAGCCCAGCAACGUCGGCCCCAGGGAGAGCUCCGGCUGCACCUCCAUCGACCGGCCGAUCCUGAAUAUUUUCAUAUUUGAAGUUUUGAACGAGGGGUCAAGUUUGAGGACACCUUAGAUGAGUUUUUGCACUGAAAACUGCUUCUUCUCAGUUCUGUUUGUCGGCUGUAUAACAAAACCGUUGAGAGAGUUUGAUGAUGUGGUACUCUCCUGCUUGACCAUCAUUUGCACCUCGCUUCUAUGCAGACCAAGAUUUGAAACAAAUUAUGUAAAAGAUUAUUAAUUUGGUUAUGGGAAUGGCUACUGUACACUUUAUGUAAUUUAGACACUACAUUUCUCUCACCAUUCACUAAUAACUCUGGUAGUGGGAAUAGCGGGCGAAAUUAAAGGACUCUUUAAAGUUUUUAAAUUGAUGUGCAUGUACAGCAUCAUUAGGUUAGAUCUCCUAGGAAAUUAACUGUGGCAUUUUUUUCUGAUCAGAAGUUUCUUAGCAAGUUAUGUUGCUGUCACAUCUUGUACUAUAACAGAAACUAACCCUUACAUUGAUCUGCUUUUUCUUUUUGGAAGGAGCAGUUCUUUAAUUUCGGAACCAUGGGACCUGGCUGCACCAUUGAAGAUGCUUGGAUAUGUCGUUAGAUGAUUAAUUGCCUCCAUUCUUAGCAAACAAAUUCACAGAUUCCCGGAUGUUUGCUCGCUCUUCUUCAGUAACUGGGUCUCCUUGAACUUUGACAAGACUUCUGUCCAAGAGCAUUUGAGUUAAUUUUCUGUGCUGAAGCUUGACCUAUGGUCACCAAACAGGAUAAUAAAGUGACGGUACGUACCUGAAUUUGUGGAUGAUGAUUUAGAGCAUUGUUGCCAACUUGCCAUGUGAAUUGGUACUGUGCUAUUCCCUGUUAUCUUAAACCUUAGAUUUUUCUGUUAAAUGAUUUUUCUGUUAUCUAUACAGUCUUUACAGUCGUAAACUACUCUAUACAGUUUUGAUUUGUGGAUGGAUGAUGAUAUGUCGUUAGAUGAUUUUUCUGUUAUCUAUACAGUCUUAAACUACUCUUUGAUUUAUACAAAUGCUAAAUUUAAUGCAUAUAGUAUACAUUCAGAUAUUUUAGUUCGAUUUUUCUGAAUGAAGUUUUGAAUUAGCUCAACAUGGAUAACUCCAUCUGUUCUUUUUUUUUUGUACCUGUCAAAUGAUCUUAGAGAAGGUGUGCAUACACUGCUUCCCCAAGGGAGAAGAGACUGAACUCCUCAGAGACAUAUAGUGUCAGACUUGAGUUCAUUGAAUGCAGUACGUGUUCUUUUCUUGCCCCAUACAUCUCAACAGAAGAUGUAUACGAGACUACACCACCAUGGCAGGCAGAAACGGUUGCAUUCAACACACUACACCUACUGAAGUAAGAUCCUCCUAUACACCUCCAUUACCUGUUUGCUCCGUUUGGUUCAUCUUCCUCGCCGCCGGCAUCGCUGGGCCUUUUGGUUGGUGACCUGAGCACCACGCCUGAAGAAUUUGCACGCCUGAGAGGCAUCCAACAAACUCAUGGGUUCUACCUGACCAGGCAGCCUGACGAGUUGCUUGUUUGGUUUGCUGUUGCUGCCUGAGUAGAUGAUUACUGCUAACUCAAGUAUUAGACGGGAAGAAAAAAAAUCUCGAGAAAACGGCUUGGCGUCUCGGGAAAAAUUUCACAAAAUCCAUAUGCUACCUAGCUUUCCAUUAAUAAAUCAAUCACCUAUACGAGGAAAAUAAUCUCCAAAUCGCUUCUUUCCCUCAAAAAGAAAAAUCCCCAAAUCCAAACAUCCAGCGAAUUGCACGCAUACAAACAACAAAGUCACAACAAUGAUCCGCAAAAAUCAGCAGCAUCAGGCAUCAGCGGAAGCUUCACUCUAAGCUGGAUCUGGCCAAGGGGAUCGCGCGAAGCUUCACACAAACUCAACCAAGGCGGGGACUUCGCUCGACGACGACCACGACAGGGGCUUCGCUUGCCGGCGAUGGAGGCUUCGCGCGACGGGCGCGGUGGCGAUUGAGGUAGGUGUGGGCUUCACGCAGUGGCGGCAGGGGCAACCUCGUGCGAUGGUGGCAGGAGCUCCGCGCGGUGAUGGGCUAAUGGCUGUGUACAGUUGAGAUUUUGAUGGUAAGCACGCAUUUGUUGCGCCUGGAGCCUCAGGCGACCCAAAACGGUCUCCUGACUCAGGCUAUUUGCACGCCA
This is a non-coding RNA of Oryza sativa Japonica Group (Japanese rice), 5409 nucleotides long. NCBI's taxonomy places the organism in Eukaryota, Viridiplantae, Streptophyta, Magnoliopsida, Poales, Poaceae. The record is from RefSeq and is a predicted model, not a curated record.